This 627-nucleotide ribosomal RNA is filed under the name Bacillus subtilis. RNAcentral describes it as "bacterial SSU rRNA". It matches the Rfam family "Bacterial small subunit ribosomal RNA", at positions 38 to 643 of the family's 1533-position model. The record is from RNAcentral. Lineage: Bacteria; Bacillati; Bacillota; Bacilli; Caryophanales; Bacillaceae.
GGCGGCGUGCCUAUACAUGCAAGUCGAGCGGACAGAUGGGAGCUUGCUCCCUGAUGUUAGCGGCGGACGGGUGAGUAACACGUGGGUAACCUGCCUGUAAGACUGGGAUAACUCCGGGAAACCGGGGCUAAUACCGGAUGGUUGUUUGAACCGCAUGGUUCAAACAUAAAAGGUGGCUUCGGCUACCACUUACAGAUGGACCCGCGGCGCAUUAGCUAGUUGGUGAGGUAACGGCUCACCAAGGCAACGAUGCGUAGCCGACCUGAGAGGGUGAUCGGCCACACUGGGACUGAGACACGGCCCAGACUCCUACGGGAGGCAGCAGUAGGGAAUCUUCCGCAAUGGACGAAAGUCUGACGAAACAACGCCGCGUGAGUGAUGAAGGUUUUCGAAUCCAAAAGCUCUGUUGUUAGGAAAAAACAGAUACCGUUCAAAUAGGGGCGGUACCUUGACCGGAACCUAACCAAAAAUCCUCGGUAACUACGGGCCAGCACCCGCGGUAAUACGUAUGUGCCAAGCGUUGUCCGGAAUUAUUGGGGCGUAAAGGGUUCGGGGGCCCCUUCUUAAAGUCUGAUGAGAAACCCCCCGGGCUCAACCCGCCCACGGGCCUUGGAAACUUGGGGGAAU